RNAcentral lists this ribosomal RNA (301 nucleotides) under uncultured bacterium. RNAcentral describes it as "partial 16S ribosomal RNA". It matches the Rfam family "Bacterial small subunit ribosomal RNA", at positions 509 to 807 of the family's 1533-position model. The record is from RNAcentral.
CAGCCGCCACGGUAAAACGGAGGGGGCUAGCGUUGUUCGGAAUUACUGGGCGUAAAGCGCACGUAGGCGGCUUGGUAAGUUAGAGGUGAAAGCCCAGGGCUCAACCCUGGAAUUGCCUUUAAGACUGCCGAGCUAGUAGGUGAGAGAGGUAAGUGGAAUUCCGAGUGUAGAGGUGAAAUUCGUAGAUAUUCGGAAGAACACCGGUGGCGAAGGCGGCUUACUGGCUCAUUCUAGACGCUGAGGUGCGAAAGCGUGGGGAGCAAACAGGAUUAGAUACCCCAGUAGUCCCUGUCUCUUAUAC